Drosophila persimilis is the source of this 432-nucleotide long non-coding RNA. RefSeq lists it as uncharacterized. The transcript is spliced from 2 exons. The record is from RefSeq and is a predicted model, not a curated record. Lineage: Eukaryota; Metazoa; Arthropoda; Insecta; Diptera; Drosophilidae.
GGACACACUCUAGACUGACUUUAUUCAAACGGCGAUAGAUGCUACCUGCGAAUGGAUUAUGGGAACACCGACGUAUGUAAAUACAUAAAGACGAUGCAAGCCUCGUUUGGCCAGUACCUUGAGCUCUCUCUGCGACUACCAGGGGCUGUAUCUAGCGCACAGAAACAACAGCACCAAACGAAAUGCAAAAUGCGUUACCUUGCUUCUGGGAGGAACGGGAACGGGAUCGGACACGGACAGGAGAGGAGGGGAGCACAGAGCACAGCACAGCACUCACUUCUCGCUUAGAGCUGAAUCACCAUAAGCCCAAAGCCACGAAAGAAUAAAUAAUAAGUGACUUUGGACAGGCAGACAAGCGGAGGAACAGGGAGAAAGAGGGGGAGAUACAUACAUAUAUCUAAUAAGAAAUCAGCAAAAGCCGCAUCUAAAAAA